This 484-nucleotide ribosomal RNA is filed under the name uncultured bacterium. RNAcentral describes it as "partial 16S ribosomal RNA". It matches the Rfam family "Bacterial small subunit ribosomal RNA", at positions 30 to 507 of the family's 1533-position model. The record is from RNAcentral.
AUUGAACGCUGGCGGCAGGCCUAACACAUGCAAGUCGAGCGGAUGAAGGGAGCUUGCUCCUGGAUUCAGCGGCGGACGGGUGAGUAAUGCCUAGGAAUCUGCCUGGUAGUGGGGGAUAACGUCCGGAAACGGGCGCUAAUACCGCAUACGUCCUGAGGGAGAAAGUGGGGGAUCUUCGGACCUCACGCUAUCAGAUGAGCCUAGGUCGGAUUAGCUAGUUGGUGGGGUAAAGGCCUACCAAGGCGACGAUCCGUAACUGGUCUGAGAGGAUGAUCAGUCACACUGGAACUGAGACACGGUCCAGACUCCUACGGGAGGCAGCAGUGGGGAAUAUUGGACAAUGGGCGAAAGCCUGAUCCAGCCAUGCCGCGUGUGUGAAGAAGGUCUUCGGAUUGUAAAGCACUGUAAGUUGGGAGGAAGGGCAGUAAGUGAAUACCUUGCUGUUUUGACGUUACCAACAGAAUAAGCACCGGCUAACUUCGUG